This 609-nucleotide long non-coding RNA is filed under the name Elaeis guineensis (African oil palm). RNAcentral's name for it is "long non-coding RNA (EGUI_LNC074509)". The record is from RNAcentral. Lineage: Eukaryota; Viridiplantae; Streptophyta; Magnoliopsida; Arecales; Arecaceae.
AAGUUUGAAGAUGUGGGAUCCCAAAUGCCCGAUUUAUCUCAAAGUUCAGAUACCGGUCCUUCUCCAUUCCAAAUUUCAGAAAGAGCCAUUUCAACCCCCGAAAAGCAUGCUCAAUCCAACCUCUUCCAAGAAGAAACUCCGGUAAAAAAAUCUCCAAGUAGGUAAUCAACUCCAUUUAGUAGCCUUUUCUGACAACAUUCACUUGUAUCCAUCAUCAAAAAAAAUGACAAUAAACAUUUACAUGAUUCCAAUCUACUUUCAGCCCAUCAUCACCUAUGACCUCUCAUGUCCUCCGUUUGUAGCUAUUUCCAACACUGCCCAAAAAAAAAAAAACCAUACAAGAUUAUCUACCUUUAACUAAUACUAAACCAUUUGUUUUCUUUGCUAUUUGGCAUUAUGCUUCGUCUGUUGCCUUGGCAUUUUUCUCGCCUAGCUCAGUCCAUCACGUGCAAAGCUUCUUCCUCCCCAUUAUUCAAAUUUGGUAGACGCCGCACCCAUGUGAUCCAUCCCGGUAUCGCGACUCCAAGGUCUCUUUUUUAAGAUAAAAAUACAAUAAAUAAAUAAAUAAAAUAAAUGAAAGGUCCAUCCUCGUUGGCAGGGGAUCCUGCC